UACGUAGGGGGCAAGCGUUGUCCGGAUUUAUUGGGCGUAAAGAGCGUGUAGGCGGCCAUACAGGUCUGUUGUGAAAACUCGAGGCUUAACCUCGAGACGUCGAUGGAAACCGUAUGGCUAGAGUCCGGAAGAGGAGAGUGGAAUUCCUGGUGUAGCGGUGAAAUGCGCAGAUAUCAGGAAGAACACCCGUGGCGAAGGCGGCUCUCUGGGACGGUACUGACGCUGAGACGCGAAAGCGUGGGGAGCGAACAGG
RNAcentral lists this ribosomal RNA (253 nucleotides) under uncultured bacterium. Its description in RNAcentral is "partial 16S ribosomal RNA". It matches the Rfam family "Bacterial small subunit ribosomal RNA", at positions 524 to 776 of the family's 1533-position model. The record is from RNAcentral.